UCAAUGUGUGCAGCUGGAGGGAGGAUAUGGCCUUCUGUAGGAGGAGAAAUUCCGGUUCAUUAUGCUGUGUGUAGGAAGUGGCUUUAUGCAAUGCUGUCACGAGCACAGGGAGUCAAGAAAUGCAUCCCUACUGAAGCAUGUGAAAAUGCUGUGAUCUGAUUACCAAAAAUGAGUGGAAGGCUCAUGACAGAAUCAACAUCAGAGUGGCAUCAUGGUGCAGGAGUGCCGGCUGAGAGAUCUGCACACCCCAGCUGCGGAGAAGCUCCUGACAGCAGCACUUCCCAGAGAGGGGAAAGAUCUGGGUAGCUCUCCUCUGCACUGCCAGUGACCCCCUGCCUCCCUCUUCCCUGCAUCCUCUGUGCCCCACACCAGCUAGCCCAUGGAGAAAGGAAGACACAGGAGUGCAGCAGCAGGUCCAUGGGCCUGAAGAUGGUGCCCAGGUGCAGUGGUGAAGGAUUUAUCCAUGGAGACUCAGAGGGAAGCAUGCCAACUGCUAUGCUGAAUCUCCAACAUUUCCCACAGCACCCACGAGAUCCCAGGUGGCCCAGCCUUGCCAGUUUGGGA
Non-coding RNA from Cyanistes caeruleus (blue tit), 564 nucleotides. Lineage: Eukaryota; Metazoa; Chordata; Aves; Passeriformes; Paridae. The record is from RefSeq and is a predicted model, not a curated record.